UUAUUUUAAAAAAAGAAAAAGAAAAAAAAAUUUAAUUGGAAAACUGAGCAAUCAGAUAUAGCAAGUUCCAGGGAUUUAAAUGUAUCACCAGAAAGUAUAUUUCUCUAAUUCUGGCUUCUGCCUUCCUCCGUUGGCUUCAUUCUGUGCCCCUCGUGGUGGCAUAAUGGCUACACAGCUCUAGCCCUCACCCAAUCCUCUCAGCUGCCCCAGGAGAGAAAACUUCUCUUCCCAAUGGACCCCACAAAAGCCUCAGGAUUCACUCUGAUUGGACCAACUUUGAUCUCUAAACCAACCACUGUGACCAGAAGAUGGAGAUAGGUUAUGGACCAGGUCCAAGUUAUAUGCCAACCCCUUGAACUAAAAGUGAGGUCAGCUCCAUCCAAACUAGAGGGAAUGGGAGGAGAAUGUGGUUUCCCAGGGGAAAAUCAAGGUUCUAUAUCCAGAAGGUGGGGAAAUAGGUACAGAGCAGGUAAAAAACUAUACAACCCAGCAUGGAGCUGGAACCCCAGGCCCAGAGCCCAUCUCUGAGUAGGAACUAAGGGCUGGAAAAACCCUCUGGGAGGGACAGACUAGAACCUGAGGUCCUGCCAAAUUCCCUGAGGCUUCAGGCCAGGCUCGGCUGUUUCUCACACAUGUCUCUGGACACACAGGAGCAAAGUUAAAGGUUCUGGAGGAGGCCGUGGCUGCCCUGGAAGCUCAGUGUCGGGCAAAGGAGGAGCGCCGGAUCGACCUGGAGCUGCGACUGGUGGCUGUGAAGGAGCGCUUGCAGAGAUCCCUGGCAGGGGGCCCAGCCCUGGGGCUCUCCGUGGGCAGCAAGAACAAGAGUGGGGAAACUGCAAAUAAACCCCAGAACAAUGCCCCAGAGCAACCUCUCCCUGUCAACUGUAUUUCUGAGCUGAGGAAGAGAAGCCCAUCCAUCGUAACCUCCAACCAAGGAAGGGUGCUACAGAAAGCCAAGGAAUGGGAAAUGAAGAAGACCUAGAAAAAGGAUGAAGAUUUCAUUCCAAAGGAAAUACAAGAUUGUAUUGGAAACACUUUUUUCACAAGGAGAUGCCAGAACACUGGAAGUAGCCCCCACUGGAAGUAGCCUCUCCAGGGCACCCAAGAGACCAGCCUUUAUUGUCUGCAUGAUUACAGGGGAUAUGGGGAGGGAAGAAGUGGAAGGGAAGAGGGACAUGGAGGGUGUCCUUGUCACUUCCCAGAGGGUGGAAAACAGGGGUGGAGGGAGAUAGAAAUCUGCACGGUUGUAAAGGUUUUGUUAAAUGUCUUUGCCCUCACUGCUGAAGAAGAAAUGAAAGCACAUGCGAAUAAGCCAUUCCAUCCCAUUCUAGCGUCCCACUCCCAGGCUGUAGGGCAGAGGAAGACAGUGCUUGAAGCAUCGGUAGGUAGUACCGUACAAAGAGACAAGCCUUGAUCAUCUGCUCACACUUGUGCCAUUUGGAUUCAUAUUGGGCAUCCGUGACAACCUCUGGGCAACAUAAAGAGGCCAAAAAAUCAAUAGAAUUUCCCUGCCUGCGUAAAGGUGAACAAAAGCUACAGACAACAUGCAAAUUCUGCAAUCAUUCCUUAUGUGCUUCAGAACUGGGCAGAUGUGGCUACCAGAACCCCGCAUUUGAGUUGUUUUCAAAUUAGAGAUCUGAUACGCAGCAGGCGAGGGGAGGUUCAGCAGCGGACUUAUUUUCAGGUCACAGUGAGAGUGACAGGAACGUGGAUUUCUAACGUCCACAGGAUGUUGCAGGCAUUGGAGGGUGGGGUCAUUUGUGGUCAGUCAGGUCCUUUACCUAUUUCAUAUGACACUCAGGCUCCAGGAGCUAGGACUAGAAAUCCAACUGAUGCUCAGUAUGUCUUUAUCUUGAUUUUGCACUUGAGGGCUCUCCAGUCUGCACUUCAUAUCUGCUGUCAGGGAGAACCAAAGGACAGUGGCUCAUUUCUGCCAGGAGUGCCUUUUACUAACACUUCAUACUUUUAUAGGGAAGCAAGAACCUCAAGUCUUGGGCACUCCCCUUACUGUGCCACUCAUUACUUUCUCAAGACUGUAGGCACUUUUUAGGUCUUUACAUUUCCUUCCAAAAAAGAUAAAACCUGUUAACUGUUAAGAGCUCAAAGGUUAGCUCCAGGAGAGAGAAAGAAAAUCCCAGAAUAACCUUUGGACACUUUGCUGGAGGUUUCACGUACUUUACCCUACCUAGGGCUUUACAUACUUUUGCCUUAUCCCAACUUUACCACUCUUUGAGGUAGCUGGAGACCAGAACAGGGAAAAUAACCUGACCAAAAUCACCUAGCUGGUCAGAGGCAGAGCAAAAGGCUUAGGGCCUAUGAGCCUGGAUCCACACAGGGCUGGGUUUGAGCCCUGCCUCUGCCACUAACCAGCUGGUGAGUCUGGGAAAGUCACUUGAUCUCUCUGAUUCUUGUUUUCUUUAUCUGUGAAACCCAGGUUGACAGUUCCAUUUUCCUCCCAAGACUAUUGGGGAAACUCAAUGAGAUAGUAUAUGGGAAACAUCUUGCACACUGUCUGAGAAAUAGGAAAUGCUCAGUCGAUAGUGGCUCUUAUUAUUAGCUAGAUAAGAAAUGUCUGACUAAAACUCCCGUGUUCUUUCCACUGAAGAAAUGUUUAUAUGGUAAUCAAAGCCAUCAAAAAGCUAAAAAACAACUAAUCCAUAACUGACAGUUUUCAUCCAGAUUCCACUUAAACAUCUUCAAUGAAAAAGCAGCGCACAUAAUCUGGAUUGUUAAUGUUCUUUCUAAAAAUGUGGAUCCUAGAAUGACACCCAACACUCCAGUUAUGUCCUCAGCAUGUAUUCUUCCUCAUGCAGUUAUUUGGGGGUUGAGCAUUUUUCCCCACCGAUAGAUCUUGGGGAUCAUUGAUAGGGGGAACACUACAGAAUUAAUAAUAAACAUUUAUUGAACACUCCAUGCCUCAGGCACUGUGUUCACAAGGUUCACAAGCACACAACCUGUGCAGUCACAAAGAUUAGUAAGGCCCUGGGCUUGGUUUAAUGCUCUGCUCUUACCCUCUUAAUAAUUUUUGAACAAGGGGUGUCACAUUUUCCUUUUGCUCUUUAAAUUGUGUAGCCAGUCCUGGUGCUAACUAAUCACUUUUCCAGGCAUCAUCCCUUUUGUUUUCACUAAAACUCUGUGAGAUAGGCUCUAUUAUCUCAGUUUUCAGUGAGGGAAACUGAAGCCCAGAGGGGUUAUGUAACUUGCAGGAGCCCACAGGAAGUGGUGGAGGCAGCAGCCCUUCCUCUUAGUUCCAAGGUUCCAUUUCAUCCAUGCCUUACCCCACCACCCCUCUUGCACUGCAGCAUUCAGAAGCACACUAGCACUUAAUAAAUAGAUGAAUGAUGGAUGUACAUAUGCAGCAUAUUUGGUAGAAGUCAGUUAGCUAAGAGAAGUGUAAACAAAAUGGCUAAAGCAUAGAUGCCAGUCCUCAUCUGUUAAAAUGCUUUGUUUGGUUUUUUGUUUUUGUUUUUGUUUUUUUUCAAGGUAUAGGCUCAUGGCUCUAGGGUGGAUUUGAAGCUCCAUCCUUCCUGACACUGCCAAGUUUUGGGACUAUCAGAUUUCUAGUGUCCCUGGAUCCUCAGUGGGGGACCCUGAGCAGGUGUACCAACCCCUCUGAGCCUCACUUUUCUCAAAUGUAAAAGGGGAUCAUAAUCCCUCCUUGACCCACGUUGCCCUUCUCCUGAGGCCAAAAGGAAGCAUCAGGUGUUGGUUACAACACAUUUGGGCUGGGCCACGAAUAGAAUAAAAAGAUGCAAAAGUC
Molecule: non-coding RNA, 3760 nt
Organism: Leptonychotes weddellii (Weddell seal)
Lineage: Eukaryota; Metazoa; Chordata; Mammalia; Carnivora; Phocidae
Source: RefSeq, a predicted model, not a curated record